UCCCUUAUAGCUCAGUGGGUAAAGAAUCUGCCUGCAAUGCAGAAGACCUGGGUUCGAUUCCUGGGUUGGGAA
RNAcentral lists this transfer RNA (72 nucleotides) under Ovis aries (sheep). It matches the Rfam family "tRNA". From Rfam's summary of the family: Transfer RNA (tRNA) molecules are approximately 80 nucleotides in length. Their secondary structure includes four short double-helical elements and three loops (D, anti-codon, and T loops). Lineage: Eukaryota; Metazoa; Chordata; Mammalia; Artiodactyla; Bovidae. The record is from Rfam by way of RNAcentral.